GGGUUGUGAGGUUAAGCGACUAAGCGUACACGGUGGAUGCCCUGGCAGUCAGAGGCGAUGAAGGGCGUGCUAAUCUGCGAUAAGCGCCGGUAAGGUGAUAUGAACCGUUAUAACCGGCGAUACCCGAAUGGGGAAACCCAGUGUGAUUCGUCACACUAUCAUUAACUGAAUCCAUAGGUUAAUGAGGCGAACCGGGGGAACUGAAACAUCUAAGUACCCCGAGGAAAAGAAAUCAACCGAGAUUCCCCCAGUAGCGGCGAGCGAACGGGGAGGAGCCCAGAGCCUGAAUCAGCAUGUGUGUUAGUGGAAGCGUCUGGAAAGGCGCGCGAUACAGGGUGACAGCCCCGUACACAAAAGCGCAUGUGCUGUGAGCUCGAUGAGUAGGGCGGGACACGUGGUAUCCUGUCUGAAUAUGGGGGGACCAUCCUCCAAGGCUAAAUACUCCUGACUGACCGAUAGUGAACCAGUACCGUGAGGGAAAGGCGAAAAGAACCCCGGCGAGGGGAGUGAAAAAGAACCUGAAACCGUGUACGUACAAGCAGUGGGAGCCCCACCACUAAGCCAGUGGUGAACUCCACAUACGCAUCCUUUGCUGAGGAUACGGUUAACGGAGCGAAAGCGACGUUCAACCGCAAAAGAAGCAGAGGGGGCUUAGUGGUGGGGUGACUGCGUACCUUUUGUAUAAUGGGUCAGCGACUUAUAUUCUGUAGCAAGGUUAACCGAAUAGGGGAGCCGGAGGGAAACCGAGUCUUAAUUGGGCGUUAAGUUGCAGGGUAUAGACCCGAAACCCGGUGAUCUAGCCAUGGGCAGGUUGAAGGUUGGGUAACACUAACUGGAGGACCGAACCGACUAAUGUUGAAAAAUUAGCGGAUGACCUGUGGCUGGGGGUGAAAGGCCAAUCAAACCGGGAGAUAGCUGGUUCUCCCCGAAAGCUAUUUAGGUAGCGCCUCGUGAAUUCAUCUCCGGGGGUAGAGCACUGUUUCGGCUAGGGGGCCAUCCCGGCUUACCAACCCGAUGCAAACUGCGAAUACCGGAGAAUGUUAUCACGGGAGACACACGGCGGGUGCUAACGUCCGUCGUGAAGAGGGAAACAACCCAGACCGCCAGCUAAGGUCCCAAAGUCAUGGUUAAGUGGGAAACGAUGUGGGAAGGCCCAGACAGCCAGGAUGUUGGCUUAGAAGCAGCCAUCAUUUAAAGAAAGCGUAAUAGCUCACUGGUCGAGUCGGCCUGCGCGGAAGAUGUAACGGGGCUAAACCAUGCACCGAAGCUGCGGCAGCGACACUGUGUGUUGUUGGGUAGGGGAGCGUUCUGUAAGCCUGCGAAGGUGGCCUGUGAGGGUUGCUGGAGGUAUCAGAAGUGCGAAUGCUGACAUAAGUAACGAUAAAGCGGGUGAAAAGCCCGCUCGCCGGAAGACCAAGGGUUCCUGUCCAACGUUAAUCGGGGCAGGGUGAGUCGACCCCUAAGGCGAGGCCGAAAGGCGUAGUCGAUGGGAAACGGGUUAAUAUUCCCGUACUUGGUGUUACUGCGAAGGGGGGACGGAGAAGGCUAUGUUGGCCGGGCGACGGUUGUCCCGGUUUAAGCGUGUAGGCUGGUUUUCCAGGCAAAUCCGGAAAAUCAAGGCUGAGGCGUGACGACGAGGCACUACGGUGCUGAAGCAACAAAUGCCCUGCUUCCAGGAAAAGCCUCUAAGCAUCAGGUAACAUCAAAUCGUACCCCAAACCGACACAGGUGGUCAGGUAGAGAAUACCAAGGCGCUUGAGAGAACUCGGGUGAAGGAACUAGGCAAAAUGGUGCCGUAACUUCGGGAGAAGGCACGCUGACAUGUAGGUGAAGUGAUUUACUCAUGGAGCUGAAGUCAGUCGAAGAUACCAGCUGGCUGCAACUGUUUAUUAAAAACACAGCACUGUGCAAACACGAAAGUGGACGUAUACGGUGUGACGCCUGCCCGGUGCCGGAAGGUUAAUUGAUGGGGUCAGCGCAAGCGAAGCUCCUGAUCGAAGCCCCGGUAAACGGCGGCCGUAACUAUAACGGUCCUAAGGUAGCGAAAUUCCUUGUCGGGUAAGUUCCGACCUGCACGAAUGGCGUAAUGAUGGCCAGGCUGUCUCCACCCGAGACUCAGUGAAAUUGAACUCGCUGUGAAGAUGCAGUGUACCCGCGGCAAGACGGAAAGACCCCGUGAACCUUUACUAUAGCUUGACACUGAACAUUGAGCCUUGAUGUGUAGGAUAGGUGGGAGGCUUUGAAGCGUGGACGCCAGUCUGCGUGGAGCCGACCUUGAAAUACCACCCUUUAAUGUUUGAUGUUCUAACGUGGACCCGUGAUCCGGGUUGCGGACAGUGUCUGGUGGGUAGUUUGACUGGGGCGGUCUCCUCCUAAAGAGUAACGGAGGAGCACGAAGGUUGGCUAAUCCUGGUCGGACAUCAGGAGGUUAGUGCAAUGGCAUAAGCCAGCUUGACUGCGAGCGUGACGGCGCGAGCAGGUGCGAAAGCAGGUCAUAGUGAUCCGGUGGUUCUGAAUGGAAGGGCCAUCGCUCAACGGAUAAAAGGUACUCCGGGGAUAACAGGCUGAUACCGCCCAAGAGUUCAUAUCGACGGCGGUGUUUGGCACCUCGAUGUCGGCUCAUCACAUCCUGGGGCUGAAGUAGGUCCCAAGGGUAUGGCUGUUCGCCAUUUAAAGUGGUACGCGAGCUGGGUUUAGAACGUCGUGAGACAGUUCGGUCCCUAUCUGCCGUGGGCGCUGGAGAACUGAGGGGGGCUGCUCCUAGUACGAGAGGACCGGAGUGGACGCAUCACUGGUGUUCGGGUUGUCAUGCCAAUGGCACUGCCCGGUAGCUAAAUGCGGAAGAGAUAAGUGCUGAAAGCAUCUAAGCACGAAACUUGCCCCGAGAUGAGUUCUCCCUGAGACUUAGAGUCUCCUGAAGGAACGUUGAAGACGACGACGUUGAUAGGCCGGGUGUGUAAGCGCAGCGAUGCGUUGAGCUAACCGGUACUAAUGAACCGUGAGGCUUAACCUUACAACGCCGAAG
This 3025-nucleotide ribosomal RNA is filed under the name Salmonella enterica subsp. enterica serovar Stanleyville. RNAcentral describes it as "23S ribosomal RNA". It matches the Rfam family "Bacterial large subunit ribosomal RNA". Lineage: Bacteria; Pseudomonadati; Pseudomonadota; Gammaproteobacteria; Enterobacterales; Enterobacteriaceae. The record is from RNAcentral.